This 460-nucleotide ribosomal RNA is filed under the name uncultured bacterium. RNAcentral describes it as "partial 16S ribosomal RNA". It matches the Rfam family "Bacterial small subunit ribosomal RNA", at positions 338 to 795 of the family's 1533-position model. The record is from RNAcentral.
CCUACGGGUGGCAGCAGUGAGGAAUAUUGGUCAAUGGCCGUAAGGCUGAACCAGCCAAGUCGCGUGAAGGAAGAAGGACCUAUGGUUUGUAAACUUCUUUUAUAGGGGAAUAAAGGUAUCCACGUGAGUAUAUUUGCAUGUACCCUAUGUAUAAGCAUCGGCUAACUCCGGGCCAGCAGCCGCGGUAAUACGGUGGGUGCGAGCGUUAUCCGGAUUUAUUGGGUUUAACGGGUGCGUAGGUUGUUUUUUAAGUCAGCGGUGAAAGUUUGUGGCUCAACCCUGAAGUUGCCGUUGAAACUGGAAGACUUGAGUGUAUAUGAGGAAGGCGGAAUGCGUGGUGUAGCGGUGAAAUGCAUAGAGAUCACGCAGAACUCCGAUUGCGAAGGCAGCUUACUAAGCCGUAACUGACACUGAUGCACGAAAGCGUGGGGAUCAAACAGGAUUAGAUACCCUUGUAGUC